UACGAAGGGUGCAAGCGUUACUCGGAAUUACUGGGCGUAAAGCGUGCGUAGGUGGUGAGUUAAGUCUGUCGUGAAAGCCCCGGGCCUCAACCUGGGAAUGGCGAUGGAUACUGGCUCGCUAGAGUGCGGUAGAGGAGAGUGGAAUUCCCGGUGUAGCAGUGAAAUGCGUAGAGAUCGGGAGGAACAUCAGUUGCGAAGGCGGCUCUCUGGACCAGCACUGACACUGAGGCACGAAAGCGUGGGGAGCAAACAGG
This 254-nucleotide ribosomal RNA is filed under the name uncultured bacterium. Its description in RNAcentral is "partial 16S ribosomal RNA". It matches the Rfam family "Bacterial small subunit ribosomal RNA", at positions 524 to 776 of the family's 1533-position model. The record is from RNAcentral.